RNAcentral lists this ribosomal RNA (397 nucleotides) under uncultured bacterium. RNAcentral's name for it is "bacterial SSU rRNA". It matches the Rfam family "Bacterial small subunit ribosomal RNA", at positions 28 to 428 of the family's 1533-position model. The record is from RNAcentral.
GACGAACGCUGGCGGCGUCGCUUAACACAUGCAAGUCGAGCGGUAAGGCCCUUUCGGGGGUACACGAGCGGCGAACGGGUGAGUAACACGUGGGUGACCUGCCCUCAGCUCUGGGAUAAGCCUGGGAAACCGGGUCUAAUACUGGAUAUGACUCCAUGACGCAUGUUGUGGGGUGGAAAGCCUUGUGCGGCUGAGGAUGGGCCCGCGGCCUAUCAGCUUGUUGGUGGGGNGAUGGCCUACCAAGGCGACGACGGGUAGCCGGCCUGAGAGGGCGACCGGCCACACUGGGACUGAGACACGGCCCAGACUCCUACGGGAGGCAGCAGUGGGGAAUCUUGCGCAAUGGGCGAAAGCCUGACGCAGCGACGCCGCGUGAGGGACGACGGCCUCGGUGUAA